This 253-nucleotide ribosomal RNA is filed under the name uncultured bacterium. RNAcentral's name for it is "partial 16S ribosomal RNA". It matches the Rfam family "Bacterial small subunit ribosomal RNA", at positions 524 to 776 of the family's 1533-position model. The record is from RNAcentral.
UACGUAGGGUGCGAGCGUUAAUCGGAAUUACUGGGCGUAAAGGGUGCGUAGGCGGCGCGGAAAGUUGGGUGUGAAAUCCCUCGGCUCAACCGAGGAACUGCGCCCAAUACUACCGUGCUCGAGGGAGAUAGAGGUGAGCGGAACUUAGGGUGGAGCGGUGAAAUGCGUUGAUAUCCUAAGGAACACCGGUGGCGAAGGCGGGUCUCUGGGCCGUAACUGACGCUGAGGAGCGAAAGCAUGGGGAGCAAACGGG